This 468-nucleotide ribosomal RNA is filed under the name uncultured bacterium. RNAcentral describes it as "partial 16S ribosomal RNA". It matches the Rfam family "Bacterial small subunit ribosomal RNA", at positions 28 to 507 of the family's 1533-position model. The record is from RNAcentral.
GACGAACGCUGGCGGCGUGCUUAACACAUGCAAGUCGAACGGAAAGGCCCUGCGCUUGUGGCGUGCUCGUGUGGCGCACGGGUGAGUAACACACGAGUAACCUGCCCUUGACUUUGGGAUAACUUCAGGAAACUGGGGCUCAUACCGGAUAGGAGCUCCUGAUGCAUGGGGGGGGUUGGAAAGUUUCGGCGGUGGGGGAUGGACUAGCGGCUUAUCAGCUUGUUGGGGGGGUAGUGGCUUACCAGGGGUGUGACGGGUAGCCGGCCUGAGAGGGGUAACGGCCACAUGGGGCCUGAGAGACGGCGCAGACGCCUACGGGAGGCAGUAGGGGAGAAUAUGGCAGAAUGGGCGGAAGCCUGUGGCAGAAACGUCGCGUGCGUGAUGACGGCCUUCGGGUUGUAAACCGCUUUCGCCUGUGACGAAGCGUGAGUGACGGUAAUGGGUAAAGAAGCACCGGCUAACUACGUG